RNAcentral lists this ribosomal RNA (2916 nucleotides) under Triticum aestivum (bread wheat). Its description in RNAcentral is "partial small subunit ribosomal RNA". Lineage: Eukaryota; Viridiplantae; Streptophyta; Magnoliopsida; Poales; Poaceae. The record is from RNAcentral.
AUGCAUCGCGCCAUGCGGCUGCGCUGCCUCCUGCGCCCUCCGCCGUCUUGCGGUACCGUGCCCCUCGCCACCCCCGCGACCGUCGGCGGUGGCGCCGGGAGAUUUGGCGCGCCCGACGGGGCACGGAGGCUGGGUGCGCCGCGCCUGCCCUUCGGCGAAGGGGGGCGGCUCUGCCGGUUCUACAGCUCGAAGGAGGGUGUCGGGAGCGCGGAGACGGCUGCGGGGAGUGGCGGCGGCGGCAGCAACCAGCAGGAGCACGCGCGGCUCGGGGAGAAGGACCAACAGGAGUGGCUUAACGGCGAGCGGUUCGUCACCGGCUGCAAGAGGCGGGAGUCGCCGUUCCUCACCAAACGGGAGCGCUUCCGCAACGAGUUUCUGCGCCGCGCCGUGCCUUGGGAGAAGAGCAGCCUCACGUGGAGCAACUUCCCGUACUACGUCGAUAAGAAUGCGAAGCAGCUGCUGACCGAGUGUGUGGCAUCACACCUGCGGAACAAGGAUGCUACUUUGGAGUACGGUUCUCGGCUGCAGUCGUCCGGUGGGAGGAUAUUGCUCCAGAGCUUGUCAGGAACUGAGCUUUACCGGGAGAGAUUGGUAAGAGCGAUUGCUCACGAGUUACGCGUACCAUUGUUGGUUCUGGACAGCAGUGUUCUAGCUCCAUAUGAUAAUGGUGAAGAUUGUUCAGAGAGUGAGGAAGAGAAUGGUCAACCGGAGUCAGAAGAUGAAGGCUCAGAAUCAGAAGGGGAAGAUGAAGAUUAUAAUGAAGCUAAGUCUGGUGAAAGUGACGACGACGAAGUUGGCAAAUCAGUGGAGAACCUCAAGAAGUUAGUUCCGCGCACUCUUGAGGAAUUUGCCAAGGGAGUUGUUAGUGCGCAAGAAAAUUCUUCAGCAGCAGAAGAAUCCACCGCUGAGUCGCCUGAAGAAGAGAAAAGGCCUCUCCAAAAAGGUGAUAGGGUGAAGUAUGUUGGAGAGUCAGUGCUUGUUGAAGCAGAUCACAGGGUCAUUUUGGGGAAAAUACCAACUCAAGAGGGAGCAGCAGAAGCCUUUACCUUUAUUAGCGGCAGAACUUUAUCAAAUGGACAGCGUGGAGAGAUAUACGAGAUCAAUGGUGAUCAAGUGGCUGUUUUAUUUCACCCUCCUGAGGAGAAGCUGGAUGAUGGUAAAAAUAAUGAAGCUAACAAAGAGCAAGAUGCUAAACCAUCAGUUUGCUGGGUUGACACUCAGGAUAUUGUGCUUGACCAUGACACUGAGGCGGAAGAUUGGCAUAUCGCGAUGGAAGCAUUUUGUGAGGCACUGCCAUCUCUUCAACCAGCCAUUGUUUACUUUCCGGACAGUUCACAAUGGCUUUCUAGGGCAGUUCCAAGAUCAAAUCGCAGAGAGUUUAUCGAAAAGGUAGAGGAAAUGUUUGACCAGCUUAAUGGACCUUUAGUGUUGAUAUGUGGGCAGAACAUACUCGAGGCAGCACCCAAGGAUAAAGAUCCAAAGGCGCUGAUGUUUCACAAUCUCUCUCGCCUGUCUCCACUGACAUCAUCCUUGAAGAGGCUGGUAGGGGGACUACAAGGGCGGAAGCCUUCAAAGUCCAAUGGCAUAACGAAACUCUUCGGAAAUAAAUUCUAUAUUCCUUUACCAAAGGAUGAUGAGCAACUGAGAGUUUUCAAUAACCAGAUUGCAGAGGACAAAAAAAUAAUCGUUUCAAGGCAUAACCUUGUAGAAUUGCACAAGGUGCUUGAAGAUCAUGGGCUAUCAUGUGAAAAUCUGUUGCAUGUGAAGUUAGAGAGCAUUAUUCUGACGAAGCAAAGAGCGGAGAAGGUCAUUGGAUGGGCUAGAAGUCACUAUUUGUCGUCAGCGAUUAAUCCUUCCAUAAAGGGUGACAAGCUAGUCAUUCCCCGUGAGAGUCUGGACCUAGCAAUCGAGAGGCUAAGGGAGCUGGAGGCUUCAACUAAGUCACUCUCUGAAAACAUGAAGAUGUUGGCAAAAGAUGAAUUUGAGCGCAAUUUCAUAUCAGCAGUUGUACCUCCCCAUGAAAUUGGAGUUAAAUUUGAAGAUAUUGGCGCUCUUGAGGAUGUCAAGAAGACACUGGAUGAACUUGUUACUCUUCCAAUGAGGAGACCAGAGCUUUUCUCGCGUGGGAACUUGCUAAGGCCUUGCAAAGGAAUAUUGCUUUUUGGGCCUCCUGGAACUGGAAAAACUCUUUUGGCAAAGGCACUUGCGACAGAAGCUGGAGCAAAUUUUAUCAGCAUAACUGGUUCUAGUCUCACGUCGAAGUGGUUUGGAGACGGUGAGAAGCUCACCAAAGCCCUUUUCUCGUUUGCAAGUCGGCUAGCUCCUGUUAUCAUAUUUGUGGAUGAGGUUGACAGCUUACUUGGUGCAAGGGGUGGUGCAAUGGAGCAUGAAGCAACGAGAAGGAUGCGCAAUGAAUUUAUGGCAGCUUGGGAUGGUCUAAGGUCCAAAGACAGUCAAAGGAUCCUUAUUCUUGGUGCAACAAACCGUCCAUUUGAUCUAGAUGACGCUGUAAUACGUCGUUUGCCUAGGAGGAUAUACGUGGACCUUCCAGAUGCGCAGAAUAGGAUGAAAAUUCUCAAGAUAUUACUUGCCAAAGAAAACAUAGAAUCUGAAUUUGGAUUUGACGAACUAGCCGAUGCAACAGAAGGUUACUCUGGGAGUGACUUGAAGAACCUAUGCGUAGCUGCAGCAUACAGGCCAGUUCAUGAACUGCUAGAAGAAGAAAAGAAGGGGGCUGUGGGCAGUACGAAAACUUCUUUGAGGUCCUUAAAGUUGGAUGACUUUGUCCAAGCGAAAGCCAAGGUGAGCCCAUCUGUUGCCUUCGAUGCCACAAGCAUGAACGAGCUAAGAAAAUGGAACGAGCAGUACGGAGAAGGCGGCAGCAGGAGCAAAUCGCCAUUCGGGUUCGGCAGCUAA